UGGACAGUACUGACGCUGAGAUGCGAAAGCGUGGGGAGCAAACAGGAUUAGAUACCCUGGUAGUCACGCUGUAAACGAUGUCGAUUUGGAGUUUGUUGCCUAGAGUGAUGGGCUCCGAAGCUAACGCGAUAAAUCGACCGCCUGGGGAGUACGGCCGCAAGGUUAAAACUCAAAUGAAUUGACGGGGGCCCGCACAAGCGGUGGAGCAUGUGGUUUAAUUCGAUGCAACGCGAAGAACCUUACCUGGUCUUGACAUCCAUAGAAUUCUGCAGAGAUGUGGGAGUGCCUUCGGGAACUAUGAGACAGGUGCUGCAUGGCUGUCGUCAGCUCGUGUUGUGAAAUGUUGGGUUAAGUCCCGCAACGAGCGCAACCCUUAUUCUUUGUUGCCAGCGAUUUGGUCGGGAACUCAAAGGAGACUGCCGUUGAUAAAGCGGAGGAAGGUGGGGACGACGUCAAGUCAUCAUGGCCCUUACGACCAGGGCUACACACGUGCUACAAUGGCGUAUACAAAGGGAAGCGAAGGUGCGAGCUGGAGCGGAUCUCAUAAAGUACGUCUAAGUUCGGAUUGGAGUCUGCAACUCGACUCCAUGAAGUCGGAAUCGCUAGUAAUCGUAGAUCAGAAUGCUACGGUGAAUACGUUCCCGGGCCUUGUACACACCGCCCGUCACACCAUGGGAGUGGGUUGCACCAGAAGUAGAUAGCUUAACCGCGAGGGGGGCGUUUACCACGGUGUGAUUCAUGACUGGGGUGAAGUCGUAACAAGGUAACCA
This 770-nucleotide ribosomal RNA is filed under the name uncultured Enterobacteriaceae bacterium. Its description in RNAcentral is "bacterial SSU rRNA". It matches the Rfam family "Bacterial small subunit ribosomal RNA", at positions 731 to 1502 of the family's 1533-position model. Lineage: Bacteria; Pseudomonadati; Pseudomonadota; Gammaproteobacteria; Enterobacterales; Enterobacteriaceae. The record is from RNAcentral.